CCUACGGGUGGCAGCAGUGGGGAAUAUUGGACAAUGGGGGAAACCCUGAACCAGCGACGCCGCGUGAGGGAAGAAGUAUUUCGGUAGGUAAAGCUCUAUCAGCAGGAAAGAAAAUGACGGUAGCUGACUAAGAAGCCACGGCUAACUACGUGCCAGCAGCCGCGGUAAUACGUAGGGGGCAAGCGUUAUCCGGAUUUACUGGGUGUAAAGGGAGCGUAGCCGGCAGGGCAAGUCUGGAGUGAAAUGCCGGGGCCCACCCCCGGAACUGCCCUGGAACCUGUGAAGCUGGAAUGCAGGAGAGGUAAGAGGAAUUCGUGGUGUAGCGGUGAAAUGCGUAGAUAUCAGGAGGAACACCGGCGGCGAAGGCAGCUUAC
RNAcentral lists this ribosomal RNA (374 nucleotides) under uncultured bacterium. RNAcentral describes it as "partial 16S ribosomal RNA". It matches the Rfam family "Bacterial small subunit ribosomal RNA", at positions 338 to 729 of the family's 1533-position model. The record is from RNAcentral.